RNAcentral lists this ribosomal RNA (253 nucleotides) under uncultured bacterium. Its description in RNAcentral is "partial 16S ribosomal RNA". It matches the Rfam family "Bacterial small subunit ribosomal RNA", at positions 524 to 776 of the family's 1533-position model. The record is from RNAcentral.
UACGUAGGAGACGAGCGUUGUCCGGAAUUACUGGGCGUAAAGCGCGUGUAGGCGGAUAGGCAAGUCUGCUGUGAAAGCUCCUGGCUUAACCGGGAGUGGUCGGUGGAAACUGCUUAUCUGGAGGACGGUAGAGGCUGGUGGAAUUCCCGGUGUAGUGGUGAAAUGCGUAGAGAUCGGGAGGAACACCUGUGGCGAAGGCGGCCAGCUGGGCCGGACCUGACGCUGAGACGCGAAGGCGUGGGGAGCGAACGGG